GGAUGCGAUCAUACCAGCACUAAAGCACCGGAUCCCAUCAGAACUCUGAAGUUAAGCGUGCUUGGGCGAGAGUAGUACUAGGUUGGGUGACCUCCUGGGAAGUCCUCGUGUUGCAUUCC
RNAcentral lists this ribosomal RNA (119 nucleotides) under Aegilops tauschii subsp. strangulata. Lineage: Eukaryota; Viridiplantae; Streptophyta; Magnoliopsida; Poales; Poaceae. The record is from RNAcentral.